This 253-nucleotide ribosomal RNA is filed under the name uncultured bacterium. Its description in RNAcentral is "partial 16S ribosomal RNA". It matches the Rfam family "Bacterial small subunit ribosomal RNA", at positions 524 to 776 of the family's 1533-position model. The record is from RNAcentral.
UACGUAGGUGACCAGCGUUGUCCGGAUUUACUGGGCGUAAAGAGUUCGUAGGCGGCUUGUUAGGUGAGGUGUGAAAUCCCCCGGCUCAACCGUGGAAUUGCGCUUCAAACCGGCAAGCUUGAGGAGGAUAGAGGUGGGCGGAACUGAUGGUGGAGCGGUGAAAUGCGUUGAUAUCAUCAGGAACACCGGAGGCGAAAGCGGUCCACUGGGUCCUUUCUGACGCUGAGGGACGAAAGCUAGGGGAGCGAACGGG